Molecule: long non-coding RNA, 1741 nt
Organism: Malaclemys terrapin pileata
Lineage: Eukaryota; Metazoa; Chordata; Testudines; Emydidae
Exons: 3
Source: RefSeq, a predicted model, not a curated record
CUUAAUUAAAACGCUUAAUGCUGCUAGACAGAGUAGCCAAAACUCUGCUCCAUGGGCUCAAGUAGGACUGUGAACCAGAAGGGUCUCCAGGCAGCCAAGGCCUUGCCUCGAGGGAAUCCGAGACAGACCAGAGGGCUGAGGAGACCAGACCUGGAGAGAAGAAGCCGUCCAUAGAAUUGGUGGAGAAACUGAAGCAUGGAGAGGGGAAUGACUUGACAGAACUGGAAAUUCAUCCCAGCUCUCCCGAUUCCCAGUCCAGUGACACAGAGGCAAAAUCAUGAUGAAAAUUAUUGAUUUUAUUAUAUCAAGGGUCCAACCACGUUCACUCUGAUCCUCUCGAAGGGUGUCUCAAUCAAGGGCAGAGGAGCCUAGCCGACCCUUUGGGUAGGAACAACAGUAUUCAAUCACCUCAUGAUGCAUGCCUGGGCCAACAGAAGCAGGCUGAUACCCAAGACAAUGUCGGGUUUCUUCCCAGGUGCCAGCGCAUAGUAUAUCAUGCACAAACAGCAACAUAGUCCAGCAGUACCUGCGCAGCACCAGCAGCUGGCCCUCAAAACUCUGGUUUGCUGAUUCCUUUCAAUUUGGUAGAAGCACUCUUUCUUGAGUGUGAAGUGUGGGUACUGCCCACCAUGCCGAGGCUCUGUUACUUCUUCAUUUAUGAAGGCCAUGUCCAUAUGCAUGACUCAGUGUAGGGUCAGUCCUCUGUUCUUGCACAAAAUUCCCAGCCUAUAGGAGGACUUCCAGGUCUCAACUGCUUGCCUCUUCUUUCCCUGUGGGGGUCACUGGCCAUGUUGCUUGGGAUGUUCCUUCCUCGAGGUUGUCGACUUCCUCAAGCCUUACCAAGCUCCAGAGAACUGGUGGUAAUAAUUGGCCCAGGUUCUCUUUGCUACCCAGCCUCCUGUAUUAAUAACUUGCCAGAAAAAAAGUCAUUUCUGAUCUAUGAUUAUGGGGUAGGCCAAUUUUUCGGCUAGGACUACCAUUAUCAGUGUGGUAUGGGCUCCCAUGCUCAGUUGUAAAAGUUAGUUACAGUAUGUAUUGACAACGCAAUGGAUACACUGCGGGUGGAUCAGAUUCUUAGGAGUGAUGUCACCUCCCUCCAUGGCCCUCCCACUUUUUGAAAGUGGACAGGCCUGGCCCAUUCUCUUUUUGCCAUGGGCCUCCUCGCCCCACCCCUGGCCAGACUGCAGCUGGAGCCCAGCCGAGGAGCCUGGGCAGCAUGGGGUGCCACCCUGUGGACCUCCACCUGCCUGAGGUGGGGGGGGGGGCGCCAAGAGCAGCCCCCAGCCUGUGUCCCCAUCCCCCAGGCUCCCUGCCCAGGGCAGGUGGAGGGUCCUUACUAGUCCUUGAUAGAUGGACUAGUAAGUGGUCAGAUAGCAGGUGUUGUCAGAGGUGCAUAAAAAAUGGAAUUUAAUCACAUGACACCACUACAACAUGAAAUAUUGAAAACCAAAACAUUAUUUGUGGAUCAAGAAACUUGAGAUUUCUAGGUAGGGAAGGAGUGAGGCUAUCAAAAGGAGAAAAGAGGGAAGAAAUUAGGAAGAGAAGUAGAGAUGACAGCAUGACAGAAAGGUAGGGCUUGAACUGUGUUAAAUUAUUUUAAAAUCAGGCUAGCUUUCAGCAGCAGUCUAACAACACUUUUGCCCAUUUGUUGUUUUCUUGUUUCCUUUAACAUGUGAAUAUUAUGUUUUUGUUAUAAAUGGAAUGCUUGUUUACUCAUUAAACAUUUCCAGGGCCAAUAAUA